Molecule: ribosomal RNA, 167 nt
Filed under: Exophiala sp. IBL 03151
Lineage: Eukaryota; Fungi; Ascomycota; Eurotiomycetes; Chaetothyriales; Herpotrichiellaceae
Description: 5.8S ribosomal RNA
Rfam family: 5.8S ribosomal RNA (bases 55-167)
About the family: 5.8S ribosomal RNA (5.8S rRNA) is a component of the large subunit of the eukaryotic ribosome. It is transcribed by RNA polymerase I as part of the 45S precursor that also contains 18S and 28S rRNA.
Source: RNAcentral
AAUUCUUUAACCAAACGUGUCUUUGUCUGAGUAACGUCUUUUAAAAUAAAGCAAAACUUUCAACAACGGAUCUCUUGGUUCUGGCAUCGAUGAAGAACGCAGCGAAAUGCGAUAAGUAAUGCGAAUUGCAGAAUUCUCGUGAGUCAUCGAAUCUUUGAACGCACAUU